RNAcentral lists this ribosomal RNA (434 nucleotides) under uncultured bacterium. RNAcentral describes it as "partial 16S ribosomal RNA". It matches the Rfam family "Bacterial small subunit ribosomal RNA", at positions 29 to 507 of the family's 1533-position model. The record is from RNAcentral.
AGCGAACGCUGGCGGCAGGCCUAACACAUGCAAGUCGAACGAACCUUUCGGGGUUAGUGGCGGACGGGUGAGUAACACGUGGGAACGUGCCUUUAGGUUCGGAAUAACUCAGGGAAACUUGUGCUAAUACCGAAUGUGCCCUUCGGGGGAAAGAUUUAUCGCCUUUAGAGCGGCCCGCGUCUGAUUAGCUAGUUGGUUGAGGUAAUGGCUCACCAAGGCGACGAUCAGUAGCUGGUCUGAGAGGAUGAUCAGCCACAUUGGGACUGAGACACGGCCCAAACUCGUACGGGAGGCAGCAGUGGGGAAUCUUGCGCAAUGGGCGAAAGCCUGACGCAGCCAUGCCGCGUGAAUGAUGAAGGUCUUAGGAUUGUAAAAUUCUUUCACCGGGGACGAUAAUGACGGUACCCGGAGAAGAAGCCCCGGCUAACUUCGUG